AAAACACCUAGCCUAGCCACACCCCCACGGGACCCAGCAGUAGUAAACAUUAAGCAAUGAGCGCCUUUUUUCAAGCUCGACUUAGUUACGAUAAACCGGGUCGGUAAAUUUCGUGCCAGCCACCGCGGUUAUACGAAAGACCCAUAAUAAUAGAACCCCGGCGUAAAACGUGANUAGAACCACAUCCUUUCCAAGAAACCCAAACACCUGCCAAGUUAUAAAAUACACCCGGCACCCUUGAAGCCCACACGUUUCAACAAAACGAACCCUUUUGACUCACGAAAACCAAGAAACAAACUGGGAUUAGAUACCCUACUAUGCUUGGCCGUAACCCUAGACAUUCCCCCCAACUAAAUGUCCGCCAGAGAACUACAAGCGAAAAACUCAAAACUCAAAAGACUUGACGGUGCCCCAUAUCAACCUAGAGGAGCCUGUCCUAUAAACGAUGCCCCACGAAAAACCUCACCCCCCCUAGUAUAACUCAGCCUAUAUACCGCCGUCGCCAGCUUACCUUGCAAAAGCUUUAAAGUAGGCAAAAUGGGCCCUCCGCCCAAAACGUCAGGUCAAGGUGUAGCACAUGGGCGGGGCCAGAGAUGGGCUACAUUUUCUAUAAAAGAAAACACCAACCCCUGCCCUGAAAAGUAGCCUCCGGUGGAUUUAGCA
Molecule: ribosomal RNA, 663 nt
Filed under: Underwoodisaurus milii
Lineage: Eukaryota; Metazoa; Chordata; Lepidosauria; Squamata; Carphodactylidae
Description: partial 12S ribosomal RNA
Rfam family: Bacterial small subunit ribosomal RNA
Source: RNAcentral